UGGGGAAUAUUGCACAAUGGGCGCAAGCCUGAUGCAGCCAUGCCGCGUGUGUGAAGAAGGCCUUCGGGUUGUAAAGCACUUUCAGCGGGGAGGAAGGCGUUAAGGUUAAUAACCUUGGCGAUUGACGUUACCCGCAGAAGAAGCACCGGCUAACUCCGUGCCAGCAGCCGCGGUAAUACGGAGGGUGCAAGCGUUAAUCGGAAUUACUGGGCGUAAAGCGCACGCAGGCGGUCUGUCAAGUCGGAUGUGAAAUCCCCGGGCUCAACCUGGGAAGUGCAUUCGAAACUGGCAGGCUAGAGUCUUGUAGAGGGGGGUAGAAUUCCAAGUGUAGCGGUGAAAUGCGUAGAGAUCUGGAGGAAUACCGGUGGCGAAGGCGGCCCCCUGGACAAAGACUAACGCUCAGGUGCGAAAGCGUGGGGAGCAAACAGG
RNAcentral lists this ribosomal RNA (429 nucleotides) under Chloroflexota bacterium. RNAcentral describes it as "Chloroflexi bacterium partial 16S ribosomal RNA". It matches the Rfam family "Bacterial small subunit ribosomal RNA", at positions 355 to 776 of the family's 1533-position model. Lineage: Bacteria; Bacillati; Chloroflexota. The record is from RNAcentral.